UACGGAGGAGGCAAGCGUUAUCCGGAAUUAUUGGGCGUAAAGCGUCCGCAGGUGGCUAUUCAAGUCUGCGGUCAAAGACUGGGGCUUAACCCUGGAAAGGCCGUGGAAACUGAAGAGCUAGAGUGCAGUAGGGGUAGAGGGAAUUCCCGGUGUAGCGGUGAAAUGCGUAAAGCUCGGGAAGAACAUCGGUGGCGAAAGCGCUCUGCUGGACUGCAACUGACACUCAGGGACGAAAGCUAGGGGAGCGAAUGGG
This 253-nucleotide ribosomal RNA is filed under the name uncultured bacterium. RNAcentral's name for it is "partial 16S ribosomal RNA". It matches the Rfam family "Bacterial small subunit ribosomal RNA", at positions 524 to 776 of the family's 1533-position model. The record is from RNAcentral.